Molecule: ribosomal RNA, 446 nt
Filed under: uncultured bacterium
Lineage: Bacteria
Description: partial 16S ribosomal RNA
Rfam family: Bacterial small subunit ribosomal RNA
Source: RNAcentral
CCUACGGGGGGCAGCAGUCGAGAAUCAUUCACAAUGGGGGAAACCCUGAUGGUGCGACGCCGCGUGGGGGAAUGAAGGUCUUCGGAUUGUAAGCCCCUGUCAUGUGGGAGCAAAUUAAAAAGAUAGUACCACAAGAGGAAGAGACGGCUAACUCUGUGCCAGCAGCCGCGGUAAUACAGAGGUCUCAAGCGUUGUUCGGAAGUACUGGGCGUAAAGGGUGCGUAGGCUGUUGUGUAAGUCUGAUGUGAAAGGCGAGGGCUCAACCCGCGGACGGCACAUGAUACUGCGAGACUAGAGUACUGGAGGGGGAACCGGAAUUCCUGGUGUAGCAGUGAAAUGCGUAGAUAUUGAGAGGAACACUCGUGGCGAAGGCGGGUUACUGGACAGUAACUGACGCUGAGGCACGAAGGCGAGGGGAGCGAAAGGGAUUAGAUACCCCUGUAGUC